CACUGACGCUCAUGGACGAAAGCCAGGGGAGCGAAAGGGAUUAGAUACCCCUGUAGUCCUGGCCGUAAACGAUGAACACUAGGUGUCGGGGGAAUCGACCCCCUCGGUGUCGUAGCCAACGCGUUAAGUGUUCCGCCUGGGGAGUACGCACGCAAGUGUGAAACUCAAAGGAAUUGACGGGGGCCCGCACAAGCGGUGGAGUAUGUGGUUUAAUUCGAUGCAACGCGAAGAACCUUACCAGGGUUUGACAUCCUGCGAACCUCUUGGAAACAGGAGGGUGCCUUCGGGAACGCAGUGACAGGUGGUGCAUGGCUGUCGUCAGCUCGUGUCGUGAGAUGUUGGGUUAAGUCCCGCAACGAGCGCAACCCACGUCUUUAGUUGCCAGCAUUUAGUUGGGCACUCUAGAGAGACCGCCGGUGAUAAACCGGAGGAAGGUGUGGAUGACGUCAAGUCAUCAUGCCCCUUACAUCCUGGGCUACACACGUACUACAAUGCUACGGACAGAGGGCAGCAAGUUCGCGAGGACAAGCAAAUCCCAUAAACCGUGGCUCAGUUCAGAUCGUAGGCUGCAACUCGCCUACGUGAAGGAGGAAUCGCUAGUAAUCGCAGGUCAGCAUACUGCGGUGAAUACGUUCCCGGGCCUUGUACACACCGCCCGUCACACCAUGGAAGUUGGCCACGCCCGAAGCCGUUACUCCAACCCUCGGGAGGAGGACGUCGAAGGUGGGGCUGAUGACUGGGGUGAAGUCGUAACAAGGUAGCCG
RNAcentral lists this ribosomal RNA (764 nucleotides) under uncultured bacterium. RNAcentral's name for it is "bacterial SSU rRNA". It matches the Rfam family "Bacterial small subunit ribosomal RNA", at positions 738 to 1502 of the family's 1533-position model. The record is from RNAcentral.